Molecule: long non-coding RNA, 1355 nt
Organism: Felis catus (domestic cat)
Lineage: Eukaryota; Metazoa; Chordata; Mammalia; Carnivora; Felidae
Exons: 3
Source: RefSeq, a predicted model, not a curated record
AGCGCGCGCCUCUUGCCUGCGCCCCCGCGGGCCCCCAGCCCACGGAAGGUGGAGCCUCUAGGUUAGGACCGCCUGGGAGCUUCCUGGGCUAGGCUUGCGUGGAGGUGGUAGCGCCGUGGUAUUUCCAUCGCAGUCGCAGGAAGGUUCUCGGGGGAACCCCGCAGGGCCCAGGGCAGUGGGUAGGGGCGGCAGCCCUUGGCGCGCUGUACUCCUCCAUUAAAGCCCUUAGCUACCUUCUCCCACCCCCGCCCCGGGGCUAGGAGCGCCCCCACCGAGUUCACAGGGGCAGGCAUGGCGUCUUAUCUGUUUGGGGCUCCCCUGUGUCUAACCCUGUGCAUGGCCCAGAAUAGGUCCACCAGUCAGUUACCUGUUUGCAGGUUUUGCUGUAAAAAGCCUAGCCGAUACUAUACCCAGGCCGAAUACACCCAAAGGUGUCUGUGGAGGCAGAAGGGGAGACAUUACCACACUGUACCUCCGUGUUCGCCAAGCACAGUGCCUGGCAAGAGCAGAUAUUGAAUGACUGAAUGUCUAUCUGGGUCUCUUGCAAGAGCAGAGGUUCAGCACCUUUAUGGACUCUCGGGGAUGAUCAUGUGACACAGUCGCCUCCUCCCUUUGGGAGUUGCACCUCCUUCUCCCUGCUGCCAUCAUACCCUCUUCUUGUCUGAUCCUGCCCACCUCUUUCACUGAUUAGAAGAAGGAAGGCAACUUUGGUUGGCUUUAAGCAACUAUAAAUUAGUCCUGUUGUCAGUGAGCCACAAAAACUCAUAAAGAUCUGUGUGUAACAGAAGGUGCUAUUGGUGUAGCUGUUUCCAUAGGUAUACAGUUCACUUUUAUUGCUGAUUUAAAUUAUCCCUCUGAGAUGCCACUAUUAGUAGGUGACAGGGUGUGGCCAGCUGAGUUGUUUUUAACUAUAAUAAAAGUCUCUGUUAGAACCAGCCAGGCUACUGGCCUUUUCUGCUACACCCAAACACAAAAUAGUACACAGGCAAUUUCCCAAGAUACCAAGCAAUUAGGGAGAGAGUCUCCUACUCACCUGGUUGCCUUUGUCCAAAAUACUGAAUUUAUUCCAUAAGCCAUCAUCAAGAAUGUAAGCACUCAUCGGAAUCAUGCUCCCUAGAAAACCCCAUGGGUCAUACAAGUAUGACCACGUAUUGCCCAGUUAACAAGAGUUGGACCAGGACUUGGAACUUAAACCAUCUGCUGGGGUGGGAAGGCACAUGGGCACGUGGUACAACUGUACCUACUAAGAUGCAAUUGUAUCUGAAGGCACAGCGAGGUUCCUGGACAAUGAAACAUAAACCACAGUCACAGGAAGUUAUCAGCACUGGUGAUCAGUAUGGAGAAGGGGCAUUACU